GAUGAACGCUAGCUACAGGCUUAACACAUGCAAGUCGCGGGACCGGCGCACGGGUGAGUCACGCGUCUCCAACCUGCCCUUCACCACUGGGUAACCCGGCGAAAGUCGGACUAAUCCCGUAUGGUGAGGGAGGGGGAUGCGUCCGAUUAGCUUGACGGCGGGGUAACGGCCCACCGUGGCUACGAUCGGUAGGGGUUCUGAGAGGGAGGUCCCCCACACUGGAACUGAGACACGGUCCAGACUCCUACGGGAGGCAGCAGUGAGGAAUAUUGGUCAAUGGGCGUAAGCCUGAACCAGCCAAGUAGCGUGCAGGACGACGGCCUAUGGGUUGUAAACUGCUUUUAUGCGGGGAUAGGUACCGCAUGAAUAAGGACCGGCUAAUUCCGUGCCAGCAGCCGCGGUAAUAC
Molecule: ribosomal RNA, 407 nt
Filed under: uncultured bacterium
Lineage: Bacteria
Description: partial 16S ribosomal RNA
Rfam family: Bacterial small subunit ribosomal RNA
Source: RNAcentral